CGACUUCCCUGCUGCCAUACUUGAACAAGCUUCAGUUCAUUUGAGACUUCAUUAACAGGAGAGAAAGAGCUGCCCAACUUCCGCCAAAUCCUCAAGGUAAGCUUCGGCUUGAACGUUUCCACCUCCUGCCAUAACCUCCACCUGCAUUUUAAAGCAAUAACACCUUCAUUGUAUUUCAGUUAUUCCCCAUCUCAAUCAUCAAUACCACAACAGCCAACCAACAAGCUAGAUACUCAAGGUAUUUAUGCGACCUCAGUUAUUCAAUCCAGUUUGCAUUCAUACCAUCAAACAUGAUCAGAUUCAAAUGAUAGAAGACCUAUAUAAGCAUAAUGGACUUAGCAGCGAAGUUACACUUCAUAAUGCAGAACACCAGUUACAUUUAUUUUAUGUAAGAAUUAGUGUGUAGAACUCGAGCAACUCAACAUACUAAGCAC
RNAcentral lists this long non-coding RNA (434 nucleotides) under Salvia miltiorrhiza (redroot sage). RNAcentral describes it as "long non-coding RNA (SMIL_LNC002452)". Lineage: Eukaryota; Viridiplantae; Streptophyta; Magnoliopsida; Lamiales; Lamiaceae. The record is from RNAcentral.